Molecule: unclassified non-coding RNA, 965 nt
Filed under: Hevea brasiliensis (rubber tree)
Lineage: Eukaryota; Viridiplantae; Streptophyta; Magnoliopsida; Malpighiales; Euphorbiaceae
Source: RNAcentral
AGCCACACCAAUUUUAUCAUGCGAUUAGAAAUCAAAGUUCCAUGAAAAUUUUUGUACAGGGUAAUUCUGCCCAACCUACAAGUUCAGACUAGAAUCAGGAAACAAACAUUAGCAUCUCAAAGAAAUUGUACACAGGAGCAAAAUAGCUAAUGGAGCUAACAGCUAUAUGAAGCUACUGCCUACCUCUUUGAUUCGAUUUCUCUGACACUUUGCACUAUGUCCUCAAUGUUUCUUGAUAGGUGAUUGGAAUGCUCCUCCAUUUCUCUCAAAACCAUGUAAAGCUGUUCUUGAUAAGCUGCAGACCGCUUGCGCUCUCGUUGUAACUCAGCAGUCAAUUCCCGAAUCUUUACAUCUUUCUCAUCAGGGGUUUGAGAUAAAAGCACACUUCGACGACCAUUAGAAGGUAUGGCUACCAGUGGAUGAUUAUGCUCCUUUACAAAUCUUGUUACAACCCAUUUUCCUGUUUUCUCUUUCUUUACCACUAUCAUGGCCUUACAUCCUUCUCGUGUUAUUGCUCGAGGCUUCCUAUUUUCACUUCUUCUAGGCCUUAACUUGCGAAAUCCUUCUUUAUUACACACAAGCCGACGCCAAACAACCUUCCCAUCACGCAUUGAUCGUCGAAAUGCAUCAACUCUCAUGAUGAAUCCCAAGCGUGUAGCAUAUGCAUCAUAAAACACCUUGGCAGCCUCUUCAGAUUCAAACUCCAUACCUACAUAUGGUUCCAUAUCAGAACUUCCUUCACUUGUGGUUACCUCUUUACCAUCAGAACUCUCUACAAUGUGAUUCACAUCCCCAUCCUCACUCAUAGAAGGGUGUUCAUCCAUUGGAACAAAGAGAGGGAGAGAGACGACGAAGCCUUCUGAAUUGGAGACCUUACGAACGAUUUUUAGCUUUGGGAGUCUCGGAGAGAGAGCUCAGACGAGGUGGAAGACAAACGGGUGCGGUCACAGAAAGAUCGGACGGAU